AAUUCAUGGGAAGAAGAUUGAACCCUUCUAAUUUAAAUGCAGGAGUGAUGCCGAAAAGAACCAAGAAAAAUGAGACUCAGUUCUGCCCAGGCCGUGAGCUUCACUGCCAGGAACCCUGGUGCUCCCUGGAGUUGGUAGUUAAAGAACAUCCUUCGUUGGUGCCCGGCAGGCAUAAUGCAACUUUCUUCUCCCUGAUCAUCUCCCAGAAAAUAAGACCUGCACAGUUAGAACACUACAGAGAAUGGAUGUAAAGCUCAGUGAUAUACUUCUGUUCAAUUCUCAUCAUGGGAAGAAAUCAAAAG
Molecule: long non-coding RNA, 302 nt
Filed under: Fukomys damarensis (Damara mole-rat)
Lineage: Eukaryota; Metazoa; Chordata; Mammalia; Rodentia; Bathyergidae
Description: lncRNA (ENSFDAG00000028705.1)
Source: RNAcentral